AAAGAAAUGAAUAAUGAUACUUAUUUAUAAUUUGCAUAGCAUGACCAAAUUGUCGGGCUGGCUUCACCACUGAGCCUAAUACAGAAAUGAACAUUGAUCUGUACAUAUAAUUGUUACCCAUCUUUAAUAUAUAAUAUAUUAGAAUUAAAUUACAAUUCUAAUAUAUAUUAAAAUAAUAUAAAUUUGUACAUAUUUGUUUUUAUUUACAAUUCAUGGAUGUUCGUCAGUCAAUUGAUACAUUAAACCCAUUUAAUAAAAUUAAAUUUAGUUUUAUACCUAGAAAAUAUACAUAUAAAUAUACAAUAAAAUUGGCAAUUUAAAACGCGUUUGGACAUUUAUGGUUAAUUUGUUAUUGAUUGCAUAGUAAGCCUAAUAAUUAAAUUUUCACUUGCUAAUUUUUUAGUUCGAGUUAAUUAGUCAUAUUACGGUUGUCGCAAUUUAUGCUAGAGAUGCAUUCAUUCGUUCGUUCAUUCAUAAACUUUGAUCAAGGCAAGAAAAACAAAAUCCAUCACCACAGCUGGAAAGAGCAUGUUAAAAUUAGUAAAAUUGCAAAGUUUGGUUGCGAAACGUUGUAAAAUGCGGAAAAUAUAGCCCUGCGAAAUUUGCAAAUUUUGUAUUAAUUUGUGUUACGCGCGGGAAAAUGCACAACUUUAAUUUCGGCCCAUUUUACAACAUUUCGCAAGCAAACUUGGAACGAUGGAUUUUGUUUCCUCUUGUCUAGAUCAAAAUUUAGUCUACAGCCGGAAUCACCCAUUAUGUGCUGAUAAAUUUAACAGCUUUUAACGCUGCGCAUAAAACAGUAAAUCUCUUUGUUCUGCCGGUCAGAUGAACUAUUUUUAAUCGAACACAGUCAACUGACGCGACUGAUUUCCAAGUCGUUUUAACUUUCAAUCAGAAUUUUCAUGUACAGUUUAUGCAGUUUUAACAUGCUCGUGCGAUUACAAUACAUUCUAAACUCCCAGAGGUAACGAAGUUUGGGUGUUUACAACAAAAGGGUGAUUUCUAAAGGUUUAUUGUUUUUGUACUGGAUAGCUUUGCGUAGCGGCGCGAAAAAGCACCUAUAGCCGAAUCAAAAUGUACAACUUUCAGAAGCUGAGCGAAACAACAUCUCUCCGUUGCAAUAAUUCCUCUGAAAAUAGCGUUCAAAAUAUCGAACCUGCGAUUCUGGUACAGCGCUCUAACCAAAGGUCAACUGUCUCUCUGUAGCUCAGUUGGUUAGAGCUCGACAACUGUCUCUCUGUAGCUCAGUUGGUUAGAGCUCGACAACUGUCUCUCUGUAGCUCAGUUGGUUAGAGCUCGACAACUGUCUCUCUGUAGCUCAGUUGGUUGGAGCUCGACAACUGUCUCUCUG
Non-coding RNA from Paramuricea clavata, 1351 nucleotides. The record is from the annotation of a GenBank genome assembly. NCBI's taxonomy places the organism in Eukaryota, Metazoa, Cnidaria, Anthozoa, Malacalcyonacea, Plexauridae.